CCUACGGGUGGCAGCAGUGGGGGAUAUUGCACAAUGGGGGGAACCCUGAUGCAGCGACGCCGCGUGGGUGAAGAAGCGCCUCGGCGCGUAAAGCCCUGUCAGCAGGGAAGAAAAUGACGGUACCUGAAGAAGAAGCCCCGGCUAACUCCGUGCCAGCAGCCGCGGUCAUACGUAGGGGGCAAGCGUUAUCCGGAUUUACUGGGUGUAAAGGGGGCGCAGACGGCGAUGCAAGCCAGGAGUGAAAGCCCGGGGCCCAACCCCGGGACUGCUCUUGGAACUGCGUGGCGGGAGUGCAGGAGGGGCAGGCGGAAUUCCUGGUGUAGCGGUGAAAUGCGUAGAUAUCAGGAGGAACACCGGUGGCGAAGGCGGCCUGCUGGACUGCAACUGACGUUGAGGCACGAAAGCGUGGGGAGCGAACAGGAUUAGAUACCCUUGUAGUC
Molecule: ribosomal RNA, 440 nt
Filed under: uncultured bacterium
Lineage: Bacteria
Description: partial 16S ribosomal RNA
Rfam family: Bacterial small subunit ribosomal RNA
Source: RNAcentral